UACAGAGGUCUCAAGCGUUGUUCGGAUUCAUUGGGCGUAAAGGGUGCGUAGGCGGUGAGGUAAGUCAGGUGUGAAAUCCCGGGGCUCAACUCCGGAACUGCAUUUGAUACUGCCUUGCUAGAGUACUGGAGAGGAGAUUGGAAUUUACGGUGUAGCAGUGAAAUGCGUAGAUAUCGUAAGGAAGACCAGUGGCGAAGGCGAAUCUCUGGACAGUUCCUGACACUGAGGCACGAAGGCCAGGGGAGCAAACAGG
This 253-nucleotide ribosomal RNA is filed under the name uncultured bacterium. RNAcentral's name for it is "partial 16S ribosomal RNA". It matches the Rfam family "Bacterial small subunit ribosomal RNA", at positions 524 to 776 of the family's 1533-position model. The record is from RNAcentral.